GAUGAACGCUGGCGGCGUGCUUAACACAUGCAAGUCGAACGGAAAGGCCCAAGCUUGCUUGGGUACUCGAGUGGCGAACGGGUGAGUAACACGUGGGUGAUCUGCCCUGCACUUCGGGAUAAGCCUGGGAAACUGGGUCUAAUACCGGAUAGGGCGAUGGUUUGGAUGCCAUUGUGGAAAGUUUUUUCGGUGUGGGAUGAGCUCGCGGCCUAUCAGCUUGUUGGUGGGGUAAUGGCCUACCAAGGCGUCGACGGGUAGCCGGCCUGAGAGGGUGUACGGCCACAUUGGGACUGAGAUACGGCCCAGACUCCUACGGGAGGCAGCAGUGGGGAAUAUUGCACAAUGGGCGCAAGCCUGAUGCAGCGACGCCGCGUGGGGGAUGACGGCCUUCGGGUUGUAAACUCCUUUCGCUAGGGACGAAGCGUUUUUGUGACGGUACCUGGAGAAGAAGCACCGGCUAACUACGUG
Molecule: ribosomal RNA, 468 nt
Filed under: uncultured bacterium
Lineage: Bacteria
Description: partial 16S ribosomal RNA
Rfam family: Bacterial small subunit ribosomal RNA
Source: RNAcentral